This is a long non-coding RNA of Cydia pomonella (codling moth), 648 nucleotides long. RefSeq lists it as uncharacterized. The transcript has 2 exons. Lineage: Eukaryota; Metazoa; Arthropoda; Insecta; Lepidoptera; Tortricidae. The record is from RefSeq and is a predicted model, not a curated record.
AUUGCAGUGGGACUGAAGAGUUUUUAUAUCAAAUAGUUCCUGUAAAUGUGUAGUAUACGAACUCUGUAAUAACGAAGUACAUUAUAACACCAUCAUUGGAUCAGCUUAAUCGAACAGGUGACAAAGUACGGCCCGCGAACGGACUGGGCCCCCUUUUUAGGGUUCCGUAGCCAAAUGGCAAAAAACGGAACCCUUAUAGAUUCGUCAUGUCCGUCUGUCUGUCCGAUUAUGUCACCGCCACUUUUUUCCGAAACUAUAAGGGCUAUACUGUUCAAACUUGGUAAGUAGAUGUAUUCUAUCAACCGCAUUAGGAUUUUUAGACAAAAAUAGAAAAAAAACAAUAAAUUUUGGGGGUUCCCCAUACUUAGAACUGAAACUCAAAAAAUCUUUUUUCAUCAAACCCAUACGUGUGGGGUAUCUAUGGAUAGGUCUUCAAAAAUGAUAUUGAGGUUUCUAAUAUCAUUUUUUUUUCUAAACUGAAUAGUUUGCGCGAGAGACACUUCCAAAGUGGUAAAAUGUGUGUCCGAAGUGGUAAAAUGUUGAACGAGAUCUAGUAAGUAGAUUUUUUUUUAAUACGUCAUAAAUGGUACGGAACCCUUCAUGCGCGAGUCCCACUCGCACUUGGCCGCUUUUUCUUAACAUAUGUUA